Molecule: non-coding RNA, 1624 nt
Organism: Nicotiana tabacum (common tobacco)
Lineage: Eukaryota; Viridiplantae; Streptophyta; Magnoliopsida; Solanales; Solanaceae
Source: RefSeq, a predicted model, not a curated record
UUCUUAGUCCCAACGGUUAGACGAACUGACCUAGGUUAUCCUCAACUUUACCAACUGGCAAAGGUCCAAGGAAAUGCAGAGGAGAAUCAUGGCGACAGGAGACCGACUCAGUGACUUGCCCGACCCGAUUCUACUCCGGAUACUGUCUACGUUGCUGGACAGUAAAGCAGUUGUGAGAACGAGCAUAUUAUCUACACGAUGGCAGUUUCUUUGGAUGUCCGUUCCAGCACAACUCUAUUUCGACCACCCCCAUAUCUCCAGGGAAAAAGAGAUUCCUAUUCAUGAUUUCUUAGCUUCGACCAAUAGAGAGCUUUAUUAUUGGAGGUCUUGCCAUAAAAUCCUAACAUUCAGGGGCUUUCUCUUUAGGUACGACAAGAGUUAUGUUAAAGAUGUUGAUUUAUGGGUACAUUUUGCAAUUAAAGUAGCUAAUGUUGAAGAUUUUACACUUGGCUUUCGCUGCAGUACUAACCCUAAAUAUGAGCUUCCUUAGUUCGUAUAUAAGAAUACGUCGUUGAGGAGUUUGAUUUUGAUUAACUGUGAACUGAACCAUUUUGGUACUGUUAACUGGAGUAGUCUCGUUUUCCUUUCAAUUGCCACCCCGAAUUUGACGGAUAAUAUAUUGGAGAAGAUAUUAUCGGGUUGCCCUAACUUGGAGAGCUUGGAACUGGAUGUGUUGGGCAUUAGUCGUUUGGAAAUCAGCUCUGUGAAGCUGGCAUAUUUGAGCAUAAAAGAUUACCAAAAUGAGAAUCCUGACAUAUUUUGAACUUUUCGGGUCAUGCGAUGAGAUAUGCUUGAGAGAUGUGGCUUCACUCGUCAGUGCUGUACUAUAUUCAAAUUUUGACCAUAUAGUAGAUGAAGAUCGCAACUCGGAGGAGGAAUGUAGCUAUUUGAAGGAACUUCUUCAUAGUGUUGCGCAUGUCGAGGAUCUUGAAUUGGGUCCCUGGGGCAUUGAGUGCCUUUCCAUACUGGAGUUGAAAGGCUGGCAAUCUCCACCAUCAAGCCGGAAAUAUUUAAACUUGACACAGCCUUAGAACAAUUGGACUUCCUUGGAAUUUGCAGUUUUCUACAGUGUUCGCCGGAUCUUCAGACAUUGGUCAUUGACUGGUGUAAUAAAAAACGAAGAGACCUGCUGUCAAGGUACACAAAUGAGGAUGAACACAUUAAGAGGUUCGAGACACAUAAUUAUAACUUCUCUUUGCUACAUUUGAAGACCAUCAAUAUGAUGGACCACUAAGUGGAAAUAAGUCUGUACUACCAUUGGUAAAAUAUUUGCUCAAGAAUGCAACAAUGCUAGAAAAGUUUGUUAUUGCAGCCAAAUUCGAAGGGAGUGAUAUUUCUCAAGAUUAUGUUAAAAUGGAACAGGAGUUCCAAAGCUUUCCAAGAGCCUCUCCGCAUGCUGAGUUGUCUUUUCUUAUGGAUAAUUCUUGAUCCCUAUUAUCUGUAUUGAUUGCAAUAUACUUAACACCUGUUACAUUUAUGUUUGAAACUGGUUUGUUGCUGAUAGACAAGGCUAGGAUUGUACUUGUUAGUAUCCAAGGACUUGUUAGUAGCUCUUCAUGUCUAAGUAACAAUGUGUUUAUUCUCUGAUCAUCUUGUAAGAAAGCUUGCUCUAAUUGUUUUGUGA